GCUGGGGACGGUGGCGCAUGCCUGUAAUCCUAGCUACCGGGAGGCUGAAGCAGGAGGACCCCAAGUUGGAAGCCAGCCU
Molecule: small RNA, 79 nt
Filed under: Marmota monax (woodchuck)
Lineage: Eukaryota; Metazoa; Chordata; Mammalia; Rodentia; Sciuridae
Source: RNAcentral